GGUCCGACCGGCUCCGGCACCGGCUGCUGCCCAUGUACAGCUACGACCCGGCCGAAGAGCCGCCGGAGUCGGAGCAGGAGCUGCUGGUGGAGGCUGAGGAGGCUCAGGUGGUGCCCGGCUGGGGGGGACCCUCACCCCCUCGUCCCCCACGCAGGGACUGGAGGGCCUGACUCUGCCUGGAGCACCGGGACCGGAUCCUGCCCGCGGGAGGGGAGAGACGAUGCUCUCGGCACUGGUACCAUCAGCCAGGACGUGGUGCCACAAUUCCACAGCCACUACCCCCACCUGAGCACUGACCAGGACCAGACAUCUCCCACCUCAGUGCCUGGUUUUCCUUUUUUUUUUUAAAAUUUUUUUCUUUCCUUUUCUUGGGACUUCUCCAGCAGCCCCUUGGAAAGCUCCAGGAGGGCCCACUGGGACUGGCAGGGAGCAGCAGGCUCUGCCGGCACGGGAUGCCUGGGGGAAGACAGGCUCAUCCCCGUGGAUGGAUGGUGGCCAUCACCAGCAGGGAUGUCCCUGUGGAGGAGAUGCCCUUGGAGGAGCCACCCCUGCCCAACCCCUC
Molecule: non-coding RNA, 562 nt
Organism: Cyanistes caeruleus (blue tit)
Lineage: Eukaryota; Metazoa; Chordata; Aves; Passeriformes; Paridae
Source: RefSeq, a predicted model, not a curated record